RNAcentral lists this ribosomal RNA (605 nucleotides) under uncultured bacterium. Its description in RNAcentral is "bacterial SSU rRNA". The stretch from base 1 to 516 matches the Rfam family "Bacterial small subunit ribosomal RNA", at positions 338 to 873 of the family's 1533-position model. The record is from RNAcentral.
CCUACGGGAGGCAGCAGUGGGGAAUCUUGCGCAAUGGGCGAAAGCCUGACGCAGCCAUGCCGCGUGAAUGAUGAAGGUCUUAGGAUUGUAAAAUUCUUUCACCGGGGACGAUAAUGACGGUACCCGGAGAAGAAGCCCCGGCUAACUUCGUGCCAGCAGCCGCGGUAAUACGAAGGGGGCUAGCGUUGCUCGGAAUUACUGGGCGUAAAGGGAGCGUAGGCGGAUAGUUUAGUCAGAGGUGAAAGCCCAGGGCUCAACCUUGGAAUUGCCUUUGAUACUGGCUAUCUUGAGUGUGGGAGAGGUAUGUGGAACUCCGAGUGUAGAGGUGAAAUUCGUAGAUAUUCGGAAGAACACCAGUGGCGAAGGCGACAUACUGGCCCAUUACUGACGCUGAGGCUCGAAAGCGUGGGGAGCAAACAGGAUUAGAUACCCUGGUAGUCCACGCUGUAAACGAUGAGUGCUAGUUGUCGGCAUGCAUNCAUGUCGGUGACGCAGCUACGCAUAAGACACUCCGCCGUCGGGAGGUACGGUCGCGAGAAGUUAAACGUUAACGAAGUAAGUAGACGUGUAGAGACGUCGACGACGACGACGACGGAGGGAGGAGG